GUAGCUAAUACCGCAUAACGUCGCAAGACCAAAGAGGGGGACCUUCGGGCCUCUUGCCAUCGGAUGUGCCCAGAUGGGAUUAGCUAGUAGGUGGGGUAACGGCUCACCUAGGCGACGAUCCCUAGCUGGUCUGAGAGGAUGACCAGCCACACUGGAACUGAGACACGGUCCAGACUCCUACGGGAGGCAGCAGUGGGGAAUAUUGCACAAUGGGCGCAAGCCUGAUGCAGCCAUGCCGCGUGUAUGAAGAAGGCCUUCGGGUUGUAAAGUACUUUCAGCGGGGAGGAAGGGAGUAAAGUUAAUACCUUUGCUCAUUGACGUUACCCGCAGAAGAAGCACCGGCUAACUCCGUGCCAGCAGCCGCGGUAAUACGGAGGGUGCAAGCGUUAAUCGGAAUUACUGGGCGUAAAGCGCACGCAGGCG
This 423-nucleotide ribosomal RNA is filed under the name Escherichia coli. RNAcentral describes it as "bacterial SSU rRNA". It matches the Rfam family "Bacterial small subunit ribosomal RNA", at positions 159 to 577 of the family's 1533-position model. The record is from RNAcentral. Lineage: Bacteria; Pseudomonadati; Pseudomonadota; Gammaproteobacteria; Enterobacterales; Enterobacteriaceae.